UGGGGAAUAUUGGGCAAUGGACGAAAGUCUGACCCAGCAACGCCGCGUGAAGGAAGAAGGUUUUCGGAUCGUAAACUUCUAUCCUUGGUGAAGAUAAUGACGGUAGCCAAGAAGGAAGCCCCGGCUAACUACGUGCCAGCAGCCGCGGUAAUACGUAGGGGGCAAGCGUUGUCCGGAAUGAUUGGGCGUAAAGGGCGCGUAGGCGGCCAACUAAGUUUGGAGUGAAAGUCCUGCUUUUAAGGUGGGAAUUGCUUUGAAAACUGGAUGGCUUGAGUGUAGGAGAGGUUAGUGGAAUUCCCGGUGUAGCGGUGAAAUGCGUAGAGAUCGGGAGGAACACCAGUGGCGAAGGCGACUAACUGGACUAUUACUGACGCUGAGGCGCGAAAGUGUGGGGAGCGAACAGG
This 404-nucleotide ribosomal RNA is filed under the name uncultured prokaryote. RNAcentral describes it as "bacterial SSU rRNA". It matches the Rfam family "Bacterial small subunit ribosomal RNA", at positions 355 to 776 of the family's 1533-position model. The record is from RNAcentral. RNAcentral also lists the same sequence under 1 other name.